UGCAAGUCGAGCGAAUCUUUGGGAGCUUGCUCCUAAAGAUUAGCGGCGGACGGGUGAGUAACACGUGGGCAACCUGCCUAUAAGACUGGGAUAACUUCGGGAAACCGGAGCUAAUACCAGAUAAUUCUUUUCUACUCAUGUAGGAAAGCUGAAAGACGGUUUACGCUGUCACUUAUAGAUGGGCCCGCGGCGCAUUAGCUAGUUGGUGAGGUAACGGCUCACCAAGGCCACGAUGCGUAGCCGACCUGAGAGGGUGAUCGGCCACACUGGGACUGAGACACGGCCCAGACUCCUACGGGAGGCAGCAGUAGGGAAUCUUCCGCAAUGGACGAAAGUCUGACGGAGCAACGCCGCGUGAGUGAUGAAGGUUUUCGGAUCGUAAAACUCUGUUGUUAGGGAAGAACAAGUACGAGAGUAACUGCUCGUACCUUGACGGUACCUAACCAGAAAGCCACGGCUAACUACGUGCCAGCAGCCGCGGUAAUACGUAGGUGGCAAGCGUUGUCCGGAAUUAUUGGGCGUAAAGCGCGCGCAGGCGGUCCUUUAAGUCUGAUGUGAAAGCCCACGGCUCAACCGUGGAGGGUCAUUGGAAACUGGGGGACUUGAGUGCAGGAGAGAAGAGUGGAAUUCCACGUGUAGCGGUGAAAUGCGUAGAGAUGUGGAGGAACACCAGUGGCGAAGGCGACUCUUUGGCCUGUAACUGACGCUGAGGCGCGAAUGCGUG
This 724-nucleotide ribosomal RNA is filed under the name uncultured bacterium. RNAcentral describes it as "bacterial SSU rRNA". It matches the Rfam family "Bacterial small subunit ribosomal RNA", at positions 56 to 763 of the family's 1533-position model. The record is from RNAcentral.